RNAcentral lists this transfer RNA (98 nucleotides) under Pleurotus ostreatus (oyster mushroom). It matches the Rfam family "tRNA". From Rfam's summary of the family: Transfer RNA (tRNA) molecules are approximately 80 nucleotides in length. The record is from Rfam by way of RNAcentral. RNAcentral also lists the same sequence under 1 other name. Lineage: Eukaryota; Fungi; Basidiomycota; Agaricomycetes; Agaricales; Pleurotaceae.
UGCCCCGUGGCUUAGUUGGUUACGGCGUCCGACUGUUAUGCUCCCGUCGCUGUAUAAUUGACAUCGGAAGAUCGAGAGUUCAAGUCUCUCCGGGGCAG